RNAcentral lists this long non-coding RNA (260 nucleotides) under Coffea arabica (coffee). RNAcentral's name for it is "long non-coding RNA (CARA_LNC006171)". The record is from RNAcentral. Lineage: Eukaryota; Viridiplantae; Streptophyta; Magnoliopsida; Gentianales; Rubiaceae.
AUUUUCCACCUGCGCAGGGAUUUUAUCCAAUACCUCCUGGUGGAGCGUUUAACAUACAACAGAUUUUGCCUGCUGAAAAUGUGCAGGCUUCGUCAGAAGGGCAGAAGGAACUCCACAGCUGGGAACUAAGUGACAAGUUUGGCUGCUUAAGUGUCACCGGUAAUUUAGACAAUGUCCUACCAGAAGAUAGGACAAUUUUUUUAACCUUCUCGAGAGGAUACCCUAUUUCUGAAUUGGAACUUAGAAAUUACUUUACUAGG